Molecule: long non-coding RNA, 1308 nt
Filed under: Sus scrofa (pig)
Lineage: Eukaryota; Metazoa; Chordata; Mammalia; Artiodactyla; Suidae
Description: lncRNA (ENSSSCG00050049321.1)
Source: RNAcentral
AGAUUUUCCUGGUGUAAGGCUUCCUCCUCUCAUCUCCUCAACCAGUUAUUGUGUAUCUGAGGCGGGACUGAUUGCAACUUGCAUCUUUUUCUGUCUACUUGACUUCGCCAUAUCUGAGUUUUCUGGAAGACGGCAGGUUCCUGGAGAGCAUGGGACUGUGCAAAUCCCAGGCACCCUACCCCAUAGCCAGCACAUAGUAAGUGCUCCUGAGUGAAUUUGUUGAACUGAAGCCGGAAGUCAGAGCCGAGGUUGUGUCCCUCCAAGGAAUAGCAGCAGGUGGCGCCACAGACCGGGAGGCGGCAAAGCGGGCCGACGGGCAGGCCUCACGUGGGGCGGCCUCACCUGGCGGCAGCUGCACCUGCCCGCCCUGCACCCCGUGGAAACCGAGAACUCGGGCCCUGGCGUCACCUGGGCAAUUGGGAAAGCAGCGCCCGGAGCCAAGGGGAGGGGAGAUGAAAGGCGGGUGGCGGGUGUGGGCUGCCGGCAGCGCCAGGUGAGGGCCAGGAGCCCCACCCUUCGCUCCAGGACCAGUUACCUCCUGCUGCCUGCAUAUCGUGAUCACCCCAGCAAGUGGGCUUUGAAAGGGGAAGGAUGCCUGCAAUCUGGGCCAGAAAAAAAUUGCCAGGAGAGAAGCAUUGCUGCGGCUGAUUCAAGCGACUGACAGUUCCAUCAACGAACUUGUAAAACUCCUGACUCUUUAACCAGCGGCGUCCAGCCCACUCCUGGAUCGCCUUUCAGAUUGGACGGCAGGCUGCCACGCUGGUUACGACAAUUGCAAGAGCACCCUGGGCGUCCUUGGCCCUGCUGCUGCCCGAGUGCUACUUGACGAGCCCCGUCUGUGCAAUGGGUCUGGCCGGGCUGGGCUUCCUGGUCUCCAGCUCUGAGCUCUGCGCCUGUGGGAGGCCGAGACCCCAGCAUACAGCAGGUAGCUCUCUCCCCCUUAUGUGGGUCCCUGUGGGAAUGAGGCCAGGCUGGCUGGAGCUGCCCCUCCUCCCCUCCACCCUCAAAAGCUUUCAGGGUGAUUAGUUCCCCUCAUGGAGGGGUCUUGUUACGGCUCCACCAGGAGGGCCUCUGAGACGCCUACCUGAGAUAACAGGGCUGCGUCUCCUUUAAUCUCCCAGCUUAGAGGCCACGUUUUAAUAUUUAAGAAAUGGUUUCCUGGCCUGGGGCUGCGUGGAGGGAGCAGCAGCCUACCUGGCCUUGUGAGAUUUGAAUGCAUCCAUAUUUUCUUAGCGGCCCUUUCUGCUCAUCAGCUCGAGGGGCCUGGUUUCCCCCAGUUGCUUCUUUGGGUUGAUUUCAUCUGUACAU